Dicentrarchus labrax (European seabass) is the source of this 959-nucleotide long non-coding RNA. RefSeq lists it as uncharacterized. The record is from RefSeq and is a predicted model, not a curated record. The transcript is spliced from 3 exons. NCBI's taxonomy places the organism in Eukaryota, Metazoa, Chordata, Actinopteri, Moronidae.
GUAGCGUUCCCUCCCCACUCUAGUUUAGCCACACCCUGCAAUCAUUGAUUGUCAGCAGGUGAGGCUAAUCACUUCUCAGUCCUUAAAUGUAGCUGUGUAGCAGUCAGCAGUAGGUUUUGCCUCAACCUACCCUGACUCUACAGUUGUUUGAGGGAUGCCGAUGCCCAACUAAGGUGUAAUGGCAGGAAUAUGGGAGCUAAUUGAAGGUAGUUGCUGCUCCCUCCACUAGAAGAGUGUGGUGUGUAUGUGCCAGAUUCUGGUUGGAUAAAUUGUUCAUGUAACUCGCAGUAGGAACUGGAACAUGGUGUCUGUUCCCAUGACCUAGUCUUCUGGCUACAGCUGUUUUUGCCCUUCUACAAAUGUAUUUAUUGUAUAUGGUUACCUUGUUUUACUGUGUAGAUUGUUAAUUUUUGAUAGUUGGUUUGUGUUUUCUUGGUUAAUUUAGUUGUCGGAUUUAUUUAUCAUCUUUCAUAAACCAAACUUGUGAGUUAAUGAUAUAGUGGAGCUAUUUUUAGUGUUUGUACAGGUGGGCUGUCAUACGCUGACAAGUGGUGGGUUACUGGGUGGAGGGUUUCCCCCUGUCUGGGUUCUAUGUGCAUGCUUACGUUGCUGUGUAUUCUAACUAUGUGCUUUAUUGUUUUGCAGUGUGUGUGUGAUCUCUUCUUCCCUGUACCUACUGGUGUUGGUGACCCCCCUUUUCUCUCACUCCCUCAUUCCUGUAGGCCUCCCUGACAGCCCCCCUCCCCCUUGUACUGGUAAUUACCUGUUUAGUGAAUAUAAGUAUAUUUUGGUAAUAAAUCGUAAAUUUUAACCUAUCCCAAAUGUUUUUUUUUUGAGAGUGACAUUAAAUCUGUGUAAAUAAAUGUAGUGGUCGAAACUGGAAAUUCACAUCUCUGCUCCUUUUUCUCUGUACUAUAAGAACCUGUGAAAGUGGGUAUUCUCUGGGUGAAAGUCCCAGG